AGAUGCCGACAACACCGAAGAGUAACCGUAAAGGACAGGAUUCGGAGAAGAGCAGGAAGAACAGGCUGACAGAGAAGGCGUCGUCGUUUCACGGGAGGAUCCCGGUGGAUGUGCCGAAGCCGAGGAUUCAUCGUCCAAAUACGCUACCUGAUUUGCUUGGAGGCCGGAGGAUGGCUGGAGUGAGCACAGAGGCGCGUCCAAAGUUGACGAAGCUGCUAUUAAACGUGAC
RNAcentral lists this unclassified non-coding RNA (229 nucleotides) under Hevea brasiliensis (rubber tree). Lineage: Eukaryota; Viridiplantae; Streptophyta; Magnoliopsida; Malpighiales; Euphorbiaceae. The record is from RNAcentral.